Molecule: ribosomal RNA, 476 nt
Filed under: uncultured bacterium
Lineage: Bacteria
Description: bacterial SSU rRNA
Rfam family: Bacterial small subunit ribosomal RNA
Source: RNAcentral
UCAGUCGACUCCUACGGGGAGGCAGCAGUGGGGGAAUAUUGCACAAUGGGCGCAAGCCUGAUGCAGCCAUGCCGCGUGUAUGAAGAAGGCCUUCGGGUUGUAAAGUACUUUCAGCAGUGAGGAAGGUGGAGUCGUUAAUAGCGGCCUCAUUUGACGUUAGCUGCAGAAGAAGCACCGGCUAACUCCGUGCCAGCAGCCGCGGUAAUACGGAGGGUGCGAGCGUUAAUCGGAAUUACUGGGCGUAAAGCGCAUGCAGGUGGUUUGUUAAGUCAGAUGUGAAAGCCCGGGGCUCAACCUCGGAAUUGCAUUUGAAACUGGCAGACUAGAGUACUGUAGAGGGGGGUAGGAAUUUCAGGUGUAGCGGUGAAAUGCGUAGAGAUCUGAAGGAAUACCGGUGGCGAAGGCGGCCCCCUGGACAGAUGCUGACACUCAGAUGCGAAAGCGUGGGGAGCAAACAGGAUUAGAUACCCUGGUAG